RNAcentral lists this ribosomal RNA (253 nucleotides) under uncultured bacterium. RNAcentral describes it as "partial 16S ribosomal RNA". It matches the Rfam family "Bacterial small subunit ribosomal RNA", at positions 524 to 776 of the family's 1533-position model. The record is from RNAcentral.
UACAGAGGGUGCAAGCGUUGUUCGGAAUUACUGGGCGUAAAGCGCGUGUAGGCGGCUUAGCAAGUUGGGUGUGAAAGCCCUCGGCUCAACCGAGGAACUGCAUUCAAAACUACUAGGCUAGAGUAUCGGAGGGGGUGGCGGAAUUCCCGGUGUAGAGGUAAAAUUCGUAGAUAUCGGGAGGAACACCUGUGGCGAAGGCGGCCACCUGGAAGAUUACUGACGCUGAGACGCGAAAGCGUGGGGAGCAAACAGG